GUUCUUGAUUGUAGAGGAGAGGCAUAUAUAUACAAAAGGAUAGUGGGCAGGGGUCUGCGAAGUGAUGGGUUGUGACGGAGGAAAGAGCCCUUUUAAGAGAAAGAGGCUGCUGUUGUGUGUAUUAGAUUAGGAAACAAGAUGAACAAGAUCUGUUAACUCAGGAAGGGAGAGAGAGAGAGAGAGAGAGAGAGAGAGAGAGAGAGAGAGAGAGAGAAGAAAGGAGGGGAAGAAAGACAGAGGGGAAGAGCAAGUGGAAGAGAGAAAGAGAGAAAAAGAAGGGAGGGGAAGAGAGAAAGAAGGAAAGUCAAGGGACUGGCCCGAGCCUGCCAGCAGCCUGAGGGGAAUGAGUGGCCAUGGCGGUGCCUAUUGGCAGCAAAGAAGGGCCCAGUCAACCACUGCUGAUGUUUGGGGCUACCGAGGCCAUUGGUGGAGGGAGGCAGACAGGCAAGGGAUGGGCUGGGGCCUGUCAGUGGCCUGAGGGGAAUGAGUGGCCAUGGCGGCAGGGGCAGUGAGGGAGGGCCCGGUCUGCUGCUGCUGCAUCUAUGGGGAGGAGCAGGAGUGGGGUUUGGGUGAGGAGGUCUCUGGGGAGAGGGGGCUGCAGCUUGGCCAAGAGGCACCAGCAACGCUGCAGCCGCAACCAAGAGGGGUGAGGGAGAUAGAGUAAAGGGAUGGAGGAGUGACCAAGAGGGGUGAGGGAGAUGGAAGCAACCAGAUGGAGGAGGAGGAGCAGGAAUGUAGCUCAGGUGAGGGUGGAGAGGGGUUUGGAUAACUUCAUGGAGGAGAAGUCUAUCAACAGCUACUAGUCGGAGGGCUAUAGGCCACCUCCAGCCUCAAAGGCAGGAUGCCUCUGAGUAGCAGUUGCAGGGGCGUAACAGCAGGAGAGAGGGGAUGCCCUCAUCUCCUGCCUGUGGCUUCCGGCGGCAUCUGGUGGGCCACUGUGCGAAACGGGAUGCUGGACUAGAUGGGCCUUGGGCCUGAUCCAGCAGGGCUGUUCUUAUGUUCUUAUGAGAGAUCUCUGAGGGAUAGAGUUAUAUCCAGUUCUCUAAACCCUAGGAAAAAACUGAGCUCAAAAAAAAAAGAAAAAAAGCUCAAGAGUUCCACAGCUCAAGACUUCACAUAGAGGCUGCCCCUAAAAACUUUACAUGCAUUCUUUGCCACUUUGGCCAACCUAACAGAUGUUUCUUCCAUUCUCAAUCAUGUGUAACCAAGCCGAAUGAAGUAUGCUACACAACCAUGAUCUUGAGAGGUGAUCCAAUCUAUGGUCCUGCAAUCCAUGAUUUAUCUUAUGGCUGCUUGAGUGCUGAUCAGCAAGGACAAUGUGGCACAGUCACAAAGAACCCUUCGUCUAACACCGCCACUAUCACAAACUGCUGUGGGGAUAACUAUUGCAAUUUUUUACCUCAAAAUAUGCACAAUUACGAUUACCUAUUUGAGUAAUGAGUUGUUUAUCUUACUAGCCCUGUUCAGGCAUUUAAAUAAAUAUGCUUAGAAAUGCCUAAAGUAGUUUGGAAGUCCCACCCAAGCAUGUCCUUCACUUCCCUCGACCUCAUCACUCACCUUAACA
Molecule: long non-coding RNA, 1564 nt
Organism: Hemicordylus capensis (graceful crag lizard)
Lineage: Eukaryota; Metazoa; Chordata; Lepidosauria; Squamata; Cordylidae
Exons: 4
Source: RefSeq, a predicted model, not a curated record